CAAGACCAAGACCAGGACUCCAGAGGAGAGACCAAAGUGGCCCCAAGAGCAGGUUUGCAAUGGUUUGGAGCAGCCGAGGAAACAGCAGCGCUCUGAUCUCAACGGACCUGUUGACAAUAACAACAUCCCAGAGACAAAGAAGGUGGCAUCAUUUCCAAGUUUUGUGGCUGUUCCAGGGCCCUGUGAGCCAGAAGACCUCAUUGAUGGGAUCAUCUUUGCUGCCAACUACCUGGGGUCGACACAGCUGCUUUCGGAGCGGAACCCUUCCAAAAACAUCAGGAUGAUGCAGGCGCAGGAGGCUGUCAGCCGGGUCAAGAGGAUGCAAAAGGCUGCUAAAAUCAAGAAGAAAGCGAAUUCUGAGGGGGAUGCCCAGACUCUGACCGAAGUGGACCUCUUCAUCUCCACCCAGAGGAUCAAGGUGUUAAAUGCGGACACACAGGAGACCAUGAUGGACCACGCCCUGCGCACCAUCUCCUACAUCGCAGACAUCGGAAACAUCGUGGUGCUGAUGGCCAGGCGCCGCAUGCCGAGGUCGGCCUCUCAGGACUGUAUCGAGACCACCCCUGGGGCCCAGGAGGGGAGGAAGCAGUACAAGAUGAUCUGCCACGUGUUCGAGUCCGAGGACGCCCUUCAGAAACCCAGUGUCAGCUGGAGGUCCUGUGCACCAUUGCAGGAAUGGAAGCAAUGGCAUUACCAUAAGUUUGCAGAGACUGUGAACACAGCUCCAUGUUGCUUCAUGAAGUAAGUUCUUCAAGAGCUAUUGAUAAAUGGAACCAUAGGAGUUCCCUGGUGGCUCAGUAGGUUAAGGGUCUGGCAUUGUCACUGCUAUGGUUCUGGUCACUGUUGCUGUGGCUCAGUUUCCAUCCCUGGUCUGGGAAUUUCCACAUGCUGUAGGCGCAGCCAAAAAGAAAAAGAUAAAAUGGAAGCAUGGUUCAAUAUAUGGAGGGAGCUCUCUAACAAGGUCCUUUAGCAAAAACUUCGUUCUCCCCAAAAUAGCCCUUGACUGACUUUUUUUGUUGUUCACACUCACGCAUGUCAGGGUUUCAAACCGAGAGGCACUUCUGCUUUUGCUCACGGCCACCUCAGUCCACACAAGCUAGAAAACACAGCGGACUCUUGGACAACACGGGUUUGAGCUGCGUGGGUCCACUUAAGGGUAGACCUCGUCAGUAGUAGAUACUACAUGUGACCGAGUUGCCUGAAUCUGCAGAUCCUGAACUGCAACACAGAGGAAUCGUAGCUAUGAAGGGCUGAGUAUAAGGUAGACACAGAUUUUUUUUUUUUUUUUAGACUAUGAAGAGUGUGCAUCCCUAACUCCCGUUUUGUUCAAGGAUCAGCUGUAAUUCUGAAGUUUAAAAUACUGCAGAGUCACUAAACACUUUGACUCUUUCCUUAAAUGGGAUGAGAGCAUCUUUCUGAGCCUGGAAGAGGCGGAAAGGGACUGAAGAAGGGAGCUCCACCCCUCUGCUCCCCACACCCCCCAAAGGCAGAUCUUACCCAGGAUGCCCCAGGAGGCAGCCACUGAUCUGUUCCUAUGAUGUCACCAGGCUAAGGUUUUAAAAACUUCUCUCUCCUCCAUGGACACUGGGAAAGGGCAUUCUCCUUCACCAAAGGACUUCAGGAUGUGUCAGGGGCCUGGAGCAAUGGGAAGGGUCCCACUGUUUUCGGGUUUGAAUGCAGGGUGGGUGGAGGCAUGCUUUGAAGCAAUGACAUUUAUUUAUUUAUUUAUUUAUUUAUUUAUUUAUUGCUUUUUAGAGCCAUACCCAUAGCAUAUGGAGGUUCCCAGGCUAGGGGUCUAAUCGGAACUACAGCUGUUGGCCUACUCCACAGCCACAGCAAUGCAGGAUCCGAGCUGCAUCUGUGACCUACACCACAGCUCACGGCAACACCAGAUCCUUAACCCACUGAGUGAGGCCACGGAUCGAACCUGCAACUUCAUGGUUCCUGGUUGGAUCCAUUUCCACUGUGCCACGACAGGAACUCCAAGCAAUGACACAUUUAUAGGAGAAGAGAUUUAAAUGCAUUUUUGUGUGCCUCACGGCUAGAGGAGGUCUCAGAGACCUGGUGUUGGGGGAAUGUGAUGGGCCUGGAGAAGGGCUGCUGUGAUGGGUGGGGUGCGGUGGGAAGCAGGUCAAGUUGCAGAGGGUGACAGUCUGGUAAGGGGAGCAGGAAGGAGCCCUGAGGUACCAGCCGUGUCCUGAGUGCUUAGGUGGCCUUGGUUUCUCAAUUCCGUGGGAGAGAAAGCUGAGAGCAAAGGCAGGAGUGGAUGGGGCUCCAGGUGGUCUUUGACGGCUUGAGGGAAAGACCAGUGGGAGGGGUGUGAAUGGGACAGAGCUGCUGCCCGGAGAGUCAGACCCUGAUGCCAGGUGGUGGCUCCCCCAAGUUGGUUGCUAGUGUGAGUGAGGGAUCCAAGAGUCUGGUGAGAGCAGAGUGGAGCACCUGGAGGAAAUGGAAGGUGGCCUUAAGGGUCAUGAUGGCCCCCUCAGAGUCUCUUUUUCCCCCCCUUUAAGGUGGAUACUGGUGUGGAUGAGCUGCAGAAAUGAAAGUCCUGGGGGCUGGGCAACUUCCUCUCCCCUCCUUCACCCACACACAGAGGCCACCUCUGAGUGCGCACCUCUGAUGCCAGCCCCUUGGGGGAGGCUCCCCCAGAGUCUGCUCGGGACUGUCCCCAGCCAGGGUAGGAGGGAUGCCAGGACGCCGGGCAGAUGGGGGUAUGGGAGACUGCAGCUUGCAACUGGUGGGAAGACACUGGACUGCAACCCACGGAGCCCAGGCAUGGACAGCCUCGGCCCCCAGGUAGUGGGCAGUGGGCGGAGUGAGGGGAAUAGAGCGAUGCUCUCACACACUCUUCCCAGCCAGGGAACAGAUGGACCCAGAAGCCUGGGGGCAGCAGGUGGUGGCAAACUCUAGACCUCAGUGGGGCAAGGCAGGUCCAGCUCUCUGGGGUGUCCUGUGCCUCUACCCCAAACACUUGGAUCAGCUUCCUCCCAGAAGCUCCAACCCCCAGCUUCCAUAACUCCCCAACCCAAGCCCUGCUGUGGUCUGGGCCAGUGGUGCCACCUGGUGGCCUCAGGGCUCCAUGCCUGGUCCUCCUUCAGCGAGCAACCAGACUGCCAAGAGGCUGCUCCUGGGUGUGGGCAGGGCUCCGUCCUGCAAGUGGACACAGGCUUCCCUCCUGCAGACUGUUUGGGGCCCAGUUGGGGAGGGCUGUCCAGUCGGUACUGUUUAAAGGAAGGACUCUGGCCUUGGCCUCUGUUACCCGGCCCAGCCCUUUCUUUCACAAGGGCUUUUUCAUUUGCAGCCUGUGAAUUGUGCAGCAUGUAGAGUGAAGUGGGCUUUAGGUCAAACCCCUUGAUUCCACCUGUUUGCAGGUCCUGUUGACCCAAGGUUUGCUGGGGGCACCUGUGCAGAGGCCCCUUUUUGGCAACAGGGAGGUAGAGGGUAAAUGGGUACUGGAGCCUCUGUGGCCUGGGGCUGAGGGAUCACUGGGGGUCCCACUGCUUCUCUUGGACUGCCCAGCUGCCAUUCACCUGACUCGUCCCGAGAGCUGGGUCUUAGCCCUUGUUUCCCGCCAUCCUUAUCUGUGCACCAGCAGGUGGCACAUAAGCCCCAUGUCCAGGCCUCUGCAGUGUCAGAGAUUCAGUAGAGUCCAUAGAUGUGGUCCUGUUGAAAUAGAAAGAAGUGAUUGCUCCAUGAUUUGCCCUGUGCUGGUGUCCCUGAGGCCCCAUGCUUCUUGGCCUCAGUCUGGUGCCUCCCCACAAAAGUGGCUGGCCACACACCCUGCCUCCCUGGCUGGAUGGGUCUUAUUGCUGCUGAGAGAUAAAGGCUUGAUGGAUGGCUAACAGUCUCUGUGAUGCUCCCCAGAGGACACUUCCAGUCUGUGUUUGGAAUAAGAUGGGUGGAAAGCAAAUACGGUGUAGUCACCAGUGAAAGCAGCAAAACUAUGAUAGGUAGCAAGUAAUUCAUAACAUCCCCAGACAUUAUUGGAAUCUGUUCUUAGUCUUAGGAUGUCUAAGACUUAUGGCAGCUGGGGUUGGGUCGGGCGGGGGCAGCAGGCCCUGAUGGGUCCAAGGCAGCACCCCCACAGAGACCCACAGUGGCAUGUGGGUGGGAGAUAGCUCUCUCAGGACCCAGGCCGCGGUCUCUCUGCUGCUUCCCUUAUUGAAGCCCAGGCAGGGGCCCCUUGCAGGCUGUGCCCUCCUCUCCAGUGGGCACCCCUCCCCACAGGCUCAGCUGAUCGCCCAGUCCAUCGGCCAGGCCUUCAGCGUGGCCUACCAGGAAUUCCUGCGGGCCAACGGCAUCAACCCUGAGGACCUGAGCCAGAAGGAGUACAGUGACAUCAUCAACACCCAGGAAAUGUACAACGACGACCUCAUCCACUUCUCCAACUCAGAGAACUGCAAGGAGGUGGGCGGUUCUGUGCGGGAACUUCUCAUGCAUCUCGGCGGAGGGGUGGGGCACUCUAGACCUUCCUGGAUGGGCACAGUCCCCUGAAACGCUGCCCAGAUGUCCCUCUCCUCCUGCCAUCAGAGCAGAGCACUUGUGUGUGUUGUGUGUGAAAUGAGGUGUCCUUGUAACAAAGAGGCUGAUGACAGUCUUAAUGACCUUGAGAAUGCGCCUUGUAGUGCUGCUGUUAGACAGUGCUCAGCUCCUGGGAGGUGUUUCUGAAAAGCAUGUGGGAGGCACCUUUGAAACUGAGGACUUGGAUGCUCUGCCCAGGGGAGUUAGGAAGCUGAGAGUAGUGGAGGCCUUGGCUGGUGCCAGUGGGCUGCUUAGGGGUGACUAGAAAGUUCUUCUGAGUCAAGAGAGCAAAUCCCUGGGUGUAGCCUGUACCCUCACAGCUUGUCAGUGAGUGACAAGCUGUGAUCCUGGCUGUUACUGAAUGAAUGAAGGACAGGCAGCUUUCUUAGAGUGACUCCUUAGGCGGAGAGAAAAUAGAAGGCCUUUUCUAGACAAGAGCGGAGGCUGGGGCAGGGUUUGUGUCUGGCCUCAGAACAUUCCUCUGGCCUCCAUGGGUUUGGGAGCCUCCAUGGGUUUGGGAGUGGUAAAGGAGCGGGAGCCAGGACACUGGGGUCAGUCUGAGGCUGGGGAAGUUGAUGCUGGCGGGGAGGGGAGGGAGUCUCUGCUCUGAUUCCCAAGGGUGGGUCCAAGGAGGGCUUGGGAGCCAGAGCUGGGCAUGGCCAGGGGGGCAGUGGGCAGCACCAAGGGCCCAGGGUCAGGCCGAUCCUUCCUCAGGUGCUGGGCAGAGGCCUGGUGCUCAGCCCCCAUCUCGGGUGCCUCUUACUCUGCCAAUUUCCUUGCAGCUGCAGCUGGAGAAGCACAAGGGAGAGAUCCUGGGCGUGGUGGUGGUGGAGUCGGGCUGGGGCUCCAUCUUGCCCACAGUGAUCCUGGCCAACAUGAUGAAUGGCGGCCCGGCUGCCCGCUCGGGGAAGCUGAGCAUCGGCGACCAGAUCAUGUCCAUUAAUGGCACCAGCCUGGUAGGGCUGCCCCUCGCCACCUGCCAGGGCAUCAUCAAGGGUCUGAAGAACCAGACACAGGUGAAGCUCAACAUCGUCAGCUGUCCUCCGGUCACCACCGUCCUCAUCAAGCGGCCAGACCUCAAGUACCAGCUGGGCUUCAGCGUGCAGAAUGGAAUCGUGAGUUCAGCCCUUGGGGGGCCUGAUGUGGGGAGCUGGGGGACAGCCCUCUGUCCCCUGGCCCUGGAACUAUUCCUACGACAGGGCAGGUCCUGGUGGGCAGGCAUGGCUGCCAGCAGGGCAGUCCUGGGCGGGGAGGGUGGGCCAGUGUGUGGUUGUGGAAUCCCUCCUUCCAGCCCUGCCCUCAGCACCCUCAUCCCUGUGAUGGUUAUUCUCUGCAGACCCUACUCUGCAGUGUUUGCAGGAACCCUUCUCACCCCUGCUGUCAGCACGUGCAGCCAAUGGCAGCGUCGGACUCACUCAUUCAUUUGCUAGGGCAUACUUGCUGCUGUAGAAUCUACUGCCCAGAUCUCAGCGUGCUGAGGGCUGAUUUCACACUCAGGUCACAGUCCAGUGUGGGAGGGGUCCCCAGGCAUACCCUCCCCCAGGGGUUGUCUGUGUCUGGCUGGCAGCUUCUGGGAGGCAGGGACAUAGACAUGGUUCAUGCCAUUUCUGCCCAUAUCCAUGUGGCCAGACAGAGCUCAGGCACAGGCCCUAUAAUACACAGGGCUGGCCAGGAAGGUGGUCCAGCUGGUGCCCAAGAUGAAGAGGGAGGGGGUGCGCAUGUAUCCAAAGCUGGUGUUGGCUGUGCUUUCCCAGCUCUGUGACACUGGGCAAGUCACUUAAUCCUGUCUGGGCUUCCCCUCAAAAGGUGACUAUAAAGACUGAGAAAAUUGGGAGUUCCCGUCAUGGCUCAGUGGUAACGAACCUGACUAGUAUCCUUGAGGUCGUGGGUUCAAUCCCUGGCCUCACUCAAUGGAUUAAUGCCAUGAGCUGUGGUGUAGGUAGCAGAUGUGGCUCGGAUCCUUUGUUGCUCUGGCUGUGGUGUAGCCCGGAAGCUACAGUUCUCUAGCCUGGGAACUUCCAUAUGCCUCAGGUACAGCCUUAAAAAGACAAAAAG
Molecule: long non-coding RNA, 6576 nt
Filed under: Sus scrofa (pig)
Lineage: Eukaryota; Metazoa; Chordata; Mammalia; Artiodactyla; Suidae
Description: lncRNA (ENSSSCG00025010169.1)
Source: RNAcentral